UCUGUAGGUGGUCAAAUAAGUCAACUGUUAAAUCUUGAGGCUCAACCUCAAAAUCGCAGUCGAAACUAUUAGACUAGAGUAUAGUAGGGGUAAAGGGAGUUUCCAGUGGAGCGGUGAAAUGCGUAGAUAUUGGAAAGAACACCGAUGGCGAAGGCACUUUACUGGGCUAUUACUAACACUGAGAGACGAAAGCUAGGGUAGCAAAUGGGAUUAGAUACCCCAGUAGUCCUAGCCGUAAACAAUGGAUACUAGAUGUUGAACAGAUCGACCUGUGCAGUAUCAAAGCUAACGCGUUAAGUAUCCCGCCUGGGAAGUAUGCUCGCAAGAGUGAA
RNAcentral lists this ribosomal RNA (332 nucleotides) under uncultured bacterium. RNAcentral describes it as "bacterial SSU rRNA". It matches the Rfam family "Bacterial small subunit ribosomal RNA", at positions 568 to 898 of the family's 1533-position model. The record is from RNAcentral.